CCGUCACACCACGAGAGUUUGUAACACCCGAAGUCGGUAGGGUAACCUUUAUGGAGCCAGCCGCCGAAGGUGGGACAGAUAAUUGGGGUGAAGUCGUAACAAGGUAGCCGUAUCGGAAGGUGCGGCUGGAUCACCUCCUUUCUAAGGAA
RNAcentral lists this ribosomal RNA (149 nucleotides) under Listeria monocytogenes. Its description in RNAcentral is "partial 16S ribosomal RNA". It matches the Rfam family "Bacterial small subunit ribosomal RNA", at positions 1394 to 1533 of the family's 1533-position model. The record is from RNAcentral. Lineage: Bacteria; Bacillati; Bacillota; Bacilli; Caryophanales; Listeriaceae.